AGAUGUUAUGAAGUAACUACAGCAGAGGGAACAGGAAGUUAAAUUUCACAUCUGACACGUUCUCUCUCACUGACUUUCAAUUAAGAGGCACUGGUGAAAGCUUUAAUAAUCCUGAGUGAUGACCACAAUUAUCCUGAAACUCAUCCUUUUGACAGAGUGCUUUGGCUACUUGGCAAAUGGUACCAAUGAAUUAACAAUCAGUCAGACACCAUCAGAAAUUAAGGUAUCCACUGGAAUGUCAGCUGAAAUUACCUGUUCCUGGAAAAAUGAUGAGAUAGUCGAGCGGUUUAGAGUAACCUGGAAAAUACAACAUCUCACCUGUAAAGAGGGCAUCAGCAGAGAGUUAUCAUCAAAACUUUACUACACAGCCAAUGCCACACACAAGGAUAAGACCGUGUUAAAGAUCGAAGUUGUGAAAAGAAAUGACACUGGAACUUACUUCUGUGAGAUAACUACCGAAAUACCUUUCAUGAAAAAAGGGCUGGGAAAUGGAACAACUUUGAUUGUUGAAGAGAAAGAAGCUGGAUCAAUGGAAAGCUAUCCUUUUAUGGCAAUUCUAGCCAUCUUUCCUUUCCUAAUAUCAGGGGGCUGUUUCUAUCUCUGUUACAAAAAGCAGCAGAACUCAAAACACUCUGUGCCAGAGAGAAGGACCCAUGAGGAACAGACACUUCAGGUUACCGAAUUGGAUGAAGGAACUGAGAUAAAUGAAGCAGAUGAGAGAAAUUCUUCUUCAUCAAACUCAUCAGAAUGGGCUAUUUCCACACUUUAUGAGUCCCUUGAUUAUUUUGCAAUGAAGCAAGAUGAAGAUAAAGAUCAGGACAACAAACAAUCUGUCACUUUUGCAUCAAAUGCAGAAGAUUAGUAAAUCUCAUGACUAACAGCAGCAGCUGGGAAAUCUAGAAGAUUUGAGGAAAACAGCAAGGACCCUCCAUCCACUUUGACAUUCUAGAUUUGAAAGCUCACGUAAUUAAUGAGAGAUCGAUAAAACUGGCAAGGCCACUGAUUACAAUAGCAUAAUUUGCUUCUUGAUCUCCCAGUGUGCAACUGAAAUGCAGUGAAGUCUGUUUGCUGUCCCUGGCACACCAUUGUGACAGUGAAGCGAGUAUGGUACGAGAAGUAAGGUUGGUUCAAAAUAAUGGAGAAAAGUAUUUUUGUUAUUGACUUUCAUGCAAAAUUCCCGGAGUCUUUUGUUGUUGCUGUUUUAAAAGUUUGAUAUCUCCCUAUUUACCUGGAGGUUUAUUGUCAUGUAGUGGCUUCUCUUCCCCCAGUUCCCACUUCCCAGUGUGCAGGAGUAAACAUAACGAUGUGCAAUCAUACUGUGAGCAUUUGUCAAACUGAAUACCAUUGAACCAUUAAAAGUGUUGCCUCAGGCAAUGGACAGUAUGUGAUGGUUUAGAGGAAGGUGGAGAAAAACCCCACACUGAUAAUCACCCAGAUAGUUGGGCAAUACUCUGCACAGGAUGAAAUCCUUCCUGAUCACUGAGGGGGAUCACCAGAUGCACUGAAGCAUGAGAUUUCAUUACCCUAUCUUAGCAUGAGUGAGUUUGCAGGACAGCAUGACAUCCUAUAUAGACUAUGACAGUUAAUGUAUUAAAGUUAGCUAGAGCCUUUCUGAGUAAAGUUAUUCUCCUGCGUAUGCUAAAUAUUAUCUCACAGUUUAAAUAUUAUACAUAAUAAAAGCUAAUUAUAACCCA
This 1694-nucleotide long non-coding RNA is filed under the name Chrysemys picta bellii (western painted turtle). Its description in RNAcentral is "lncRNA (ENSCPBG00000005974.1)". The record is from RNAcentral. Lineage: Eukaryota; Metazoa; Chordata; Testudines; Emydidae.